GUACUACUCCCUCCGUCCAAAAAUACCUGUCAUCAAAAUAGAUAAAAAUGAUGUAUCUAGAAGUAAAUUAUGUUUAAAUACAUUCCCUUUUAUUCAUUUUGAUAUCAAGUAUUUCUGGACGGAGGGAGUAUAUC
Molecule: non-coding RNA, 134 nt
Organism: Triticum aestivum (bread wheat)
Lineage: Eukaryota; Viridiplantae; Streptophyta; Magnoliopsida; Poales; Poaceae
Source: Rfam